Molecule: ribosomal RNA, 496 nt
Filed under: uncultured bacterium
Lineage: Bacteria
Description: partial 16S ribosomal RNA
Rfam family: Bacterial small subunit ribosomal RNA
Source: RNAcentral
AUGAACGCUGGCGGCGUGCCUAAUACAUGCAAGUCGAGCGAACAGAUGAGGAGCUUGCUCCUCUGACGUUAGCGGCGGACGGGUGAGUAACACGUGGAUAACCUACCUAUAAGACUGGGAUAACUUCGGGAAACCGGAGCUAAUACCGGAUAAUAAAUUGAACCGCAUGGUUCAAUAGUGAAAGACGGUUUUGCUGUCACUUAUAGAUGGAUCCGCGCCGCAUUAGCUAGUUGGUAAGGUAACGGCUUACCAAGGCAACGAUGCGUAGCCGACCUGAGAGGGUGAUCGGCCACACUGGAACUGAGACACGGUCCAGACUCCUACGGGAGGCAGCAGUAGGGAAUCUUCCGCAAUGGGCGAAAGCCUGACGGAGCAACGCCGCGUGAGUGAUGAAGGUCUUCGGAUCGUAAAACUCUGUUAUUAGGGAAGAACAAAUGUGUAAGUAACUAUGCACGUCUUGACGGUACCUAAUCAGAAAGCCACGGCUAACUACGUG